UCCUGGUUAACCCAGGCAGUCUCAUUAGAGUUCCCACCUUAUAUGUUGGCAACUAAUGAUAAGGGUUGCGCUCGUUGCUGGACUUAACCAAACACCUCACGGCACGAGCUGACGACAGCCAUGCAGCACCUGUGCACUGGCCCCGAAGGGAGGCAUCAUCUCUGAUGCUGUCCAGUGCAUGUCAAGCCUGGGUAAGGUUCUUCGCGUUGCAUCGAAUUAAACCACAUGCUCCACUGCUUGUGCGGGUCCCCGUCAAUUCUUUUGAGUUUCAGCCUUGCGACUGUACUUCCCAGGCGGUAUACUUAUCGCGUUAGCUACGGCACAAUCGGGGUUGAAUCCAAUUACACCAAGUAUACAUCGUUUACGGCAAGGACUAC
This 377-nucleotide unclassified non-coding RNA is filed under the name uncultured Parachlamydiaceae bacterium. RNAcentral describes it as "contains 16S-23S intergenic spacer region". The record is from RNAcentral. Lineage: Bacteria; Pseudomonadati; Chlamydiota; Chlamydiia; Parachlamydiales; Parachlamydiaceae.